Molecule: ribosomal RNA, 422 nt
Filed under: uncultured Gigasporaceae
Lineage: Eukaryota; Fungi; Glomeromycota; Glomeromycetes; Diversisporales; Gigasporaceae
Description: SSU rRNA
Rfam family: Eukaryotic small subunit ribosomal RNA
Source: RNAcentral
GGGAGGUAGUGACAAUAAAUAACAAUACAGGGCUCUUAUGGGUCUUGUAAUUGGAAUGAGUACAAUUUAAAUCUCUUAACGAGGAACAAUUGGAGGGCAAGUCUGGUGCCAGCAGCCGCGGUAAUUCCAGUUCCAAUAGCGUAUAUUAAAGUUGUUGCAGUUAAAAAGCUCGUAGUUGAAUUUCGGGGUUCUUCCGUUGGUCAGGCUAACAAGUCUGUACUAGCGUGUAGAAUCUCUACCUUCUGGGGAACCAUCAUGUUAUUAAUUUAGCGUGGUGGGAAACCAGGACCUUUACCUUGAAAAAAUUAGAGUGUUCAAAGCAGGCUUACGUCUGAAUACAUUAGCAUGGAAUAAUAAAAUAGGACGGUGGUCCUGUUUUGUUGGUUUCUGAAUCACCGUAAUGAUUAAUAGGGAUAGUUGGG